RNAcentral lists this ribosomal RNA (255 nucleotides) under uncultured bacterium. Its description in RNAcentral is "partial 16S ribosomal RNA". It matches the Rfam family "Bacterial small subunit ribosomal RNA", at positions 524 to 778 of the family's 1533-position model. The record is from RNAcentral.
UACGAAGGGUGCAAGCGUUACUCGGAAUUACUGGGCGUAAAGCGUGCGUAGGUGGUUUGUUAAGUCUGUUGUGAAAGCCCCGGGCUCAACCUGGGAAUGGCAAUGGAUACUGGCAGGCUAGAGUGCGGUAGAGGGUAGUGGAAUUCCCGGUGUAGCGGUGAAAUGCGUAGAGAUCGGGAGGAACACCAGUGGCGAAGGCGGCUACCUGGACCAGCACUGACACUGAAGCACGAAAGCGUGGGGAGCAAACAGGAU